UGGGGAAUAUUGCACAAUGGGCGCAAGCCUGAUGCAGCCAUGCCGCGUGUGUGAAGAAGGCCUUCGGGUUGUAAAGCACUUUCAGCGAGGAGGAAGGGUUCAGUGUUAAUAGCACUGUUCAUUGACGUUACUCGCAGAAGAAGCACCGGCUAACUCCGUGCCAGCAGCCGCGGUAAUACGGAGGGUGCAAGCGUUAAUCGGAAUUACUGGGCGUAAAGCGCACGCAGGCGGUUUGUUAAGUCAGAUGUGAAAUCCCCGC
Molecule: ribosomal RNA, 259 nt
Filed under: uncultured bacterium
Lineage: Bacteria
Description: partial 16S ribosomal RNA
Rfam family: Bacterial small subunit ribosomal RNA
Source: RNAcentral